UACGGAGGGGGCGAGCGUUAUUCGGAAUUAUUGGGCGUAAAGGGCAGGUAGGCGGCCUCAUGUGUCCUUUGUGAAAGCCCUCGGCUCAACCGAGGAACUGCAGGGGAAACUGUGGGGCUUGAGUCCGGGAGAGGGUAGCGGAAUUCCCAGUGUAGCGGUGAAAUGCGUAGAUAUUGGGAGGAACACCAGUGGCGAAGGCGGCUACCUGGACCGGAACUGACGCUAAGCUGCGAAAGCUAGGGGAGCAAACGGG
Molecule: ribosomal RNA, 253 nt
Filed under: uncultured bacterium
Lineage: Bacteria
Description: partial 16S ribosomal RNA
Rfam family: Bacterial small subunit ribosomal RNA
Source: RNAcentral